UAGCUGGAUUCGGCCCAAGUGCUGUGCACGUUGGCUUCUGGAGGGGUGAAUUGAGACCAUUCGCAUCCAGGGGAAACAUGGAUCCCGAGGCCAGAGCAGGGCUAAGGCGCAAAGAAGGAAUCUCAAGACCUGAGAAAUACAGGCUGGAAAGUCACUUGUGUCAAACUUGACAUCUGUGCAAGUGAACCUGGGGUUUUAACGCUAAGAAAGCUGAGGAUGUCACCACCAGAUAGAUUUUUGGCGGUUGCUGUCACAAAGUAUGCUAAAUGAAAGGGAAAGUUGGAAAAACAUGAUUCUGUGGAUGCAGGAAGAAGGUACAAGUCAAGGCAAGGUGUGUUUAUUUUUUUGUCAUGGAAUACCAGUGCCACACAUUACCUGAUUCCUUUUGAAAAUGAAAUGCAUAAUUGUAAUAAAAGUUUGUUACUGUGGA
Molecule: long non-coding RNA, 430 nt
Organism: Suncus etruscus (white-toothed pygmy shrew)
Lineage: Eukaryota; Metazoa; Chordata; Mammalia; Eulipotyphla; Soricidae
Exons: 4
Source: RefSeq, a predicted model, not a curated record